Molecule: ribosomal RNA, 261 nt
Filed under: uncultured bacterium
Lineage: Bacteria
Description: partial 16S ribosomal RNA
Rfam family: Bacterial small subunit ribosomal RNA
Source: RNAcentral
UACGUAGGGUGCAAGCGUUGUCCGGAAUUAUUGGGCGUAAAGAGCUCGUAGGCGGUUUGUCGCGUCUGCUGUGAAAACCCGAGGCUCAACCUCGGGACCUGCAGUGGGUACGGGCAGACUAGAGUGCGGUAGGGGAGAUUGGAAUUCCUGGUGUAGCGGUGGAAUGCGCAGAUAUCAGGAGGAACACCAAUGGCGAAGGCAGAUCUCUGGGCCGUAACUGACGCUGAGGAGCGAAAGCAUGGGGAGCGAACAGGAUUAGAU